CGGGGGGGGCAAGGCGUUGUUCGGAAUUACUGGGCGUAAAGGGCGCGUAGGCGGCCUGCUAAGUCGGACGUGAAAUCCCUCGGCUCAACCGGGGAACUGCGUCCGAUACUGGUGGGCUCGAAUCCGGGAGAGGGAUGUGGAAUUCCAGGUGUAGCGGUGAAAUGCGUAGAUAUCUGGAGGAACACCGGUGGCGAAGGCGGCAUCCUGGACCGGUAUUGACGCUGAUGCGCGAAAGCCAGGGGAGCAAACGGGAUUAGAUACCCCGGUAGUCCUGGCCCUAAACGAUGAGUGCUUGGUGUGGCGGGUAUCGAUCCCUGCCGUGCCGAAGCUAACGCAUUAAGCACUCCGCCUGGGGAGUACGGUCGCAAGGCUG
RNAcentral lists this ribosomal RNA (373 nucleotides) under uncultured organism. RNAcentral's name for it is "bacterial SSU rRNA". It matches the Rfam family "Bacterial small subunit ribosomal RNA", at positions 526 to 896 of the family's 1533-position model. The record is from RNAcentral.